Non-coding RNA from Maylandia zebra (zebra mbuna), 384 nucleotides. Lineage: Eukaryota; Metazoa; Chordata; Actinopteri; Cichliformes; Cichlidae. The record is from RefSeq and is a predicted model, not a curated record.
GAUUUGUCAGAGAUCAGCUGUGAUUAUCUGGCAGCAGCGCUGAAGUCCAACCCCUCGUAUCCCAGAGUGCUGGACCUGAGUGGAACCUACAACAACCUGCAGGAUUCAGGAGUGAAGCAGCUGUGUGUUCUUCUGGAGAAUCCACGAUGUCGAUUUGAAACUCUGAGAUUGAAGGACUGUGAUUUGUCAGAGAUCAGCUGUGAUUAUCUGGCAGCAGCGCUGAAGUCCAACCCCUCGUAUCCCAGAGUGCUGGACCUGAGUGGAACCUACAACAACCUGCAGGAUUCAGGAGUGAAGCAGCUGUGUGUUCUUCUGGAGAAUCCACGAUGUCGAUUUGAAACUCUGAGACUGAGUCACUGUGACCUGUCAGAGAGAAGCUGUGAA